RNAcentral lists this ribosomal RNA (253 nucleotides) under uncultured bacterium. Its description in RNAcentral is "partial 16S ribosomal RNA". It matches the Rfam family "Bacterial small subunit ribosomal RNA", at positions 524 to 776 of the family's 1533-position model. The record is from RNAcentral.
UACAGAGGUGGCAAGCGUUGUUCGGAAUUACUGGGCGUAAAGGGCGCGUAGGCGGCCUUCUAAGUCAGACGUGAAAUCCCCAGGCUUAACUUGGGAACUGCGUCUGAUACUGGGAGGCUUGAGUGCGGGAGAGGGAUGUGGAAUUCCAGGUGUAGCGGUGAAAUGCGUAGAUAUCUGGAGGAACACCGGUGGCGAAGGCGGCAUCGUGGACCGACACUGACGCUGAGGCGCGAAAGCGUGGGGAGCGAACAGG